This 380-nucleotide ribosomal RNA is filed under the name uncultured eukaryote. RNAcentral's name for it is "partial 18S ribosomal RNA". It matches the Rfam family "Eukaryotic small subunit ribosomal RNA", at positions 592 to 976 of the family's 1831-position model. The record is from RNAcentral.
CAAUAGCGUAUAUUAAAGUUGUUGCGGUUAAAAAGCUCGUAGUUGGAUUUCUGCUGAGAACGACCGGUCCGCCCUCUGGGUGUGUAUCUGGCUCUUUCUUGGCAUCUUCUUGGUGAACGUUGCUGCACUUGACUGUGUGGAGCGCUACCCAGGACUUUUACUUUGAGGAAAUUAGAGUGUUUCAAGCAGGCAUACGCCUUGAAUACAUUAGCAUGGAAUAAUAAGAUAGGACCUCGGUUCUAUUUUGUUGGUUUCUAGAGCUGAGGUAAUGAUUAAUAGGGAUAGUUGGGGGCAUUCGUAUUUAACUGUCAAAGGUGAAAUUCUUGGAUUUGUUAAAGACGGACUACUGCGAAAGCAUUUGCCAAGGAUGUUUNCAUUGA